GGUUGUGUAUUUAUUGAGGCUCUCACUUUGCAAUCCGCAGGACGACAAAUUUAACCAAAGAGAUACGGCAUAGUCCAGCGCAAAACAUAUCGUAUUGGAAUGGCAGGGUAAGAUGGAUUAUGGGCGAAGAACCGUUCAAAAUUCAAGAAACUAUGUCAUUAAAGCGAGACAUGAAAAAUUUGGAAAGACCAAAGGAAUGGCAGUGAACAUGCUGCUUUGGCUAACAAGAAAAGGGGCAAUGAGGGGCCUUAGAUCCCGCAAUCAAGAAAAAAUAACUUAAACACUAAACGAGUGACUAACAGAAGCGAAUAUUCAGCGUAUAUAAAUAAAAGUAUC
This 336-nucleotide small RNA is filed under the name Histoplasma capsulatum var. duboisii H88. RNAcentral describes it as "Histoplasma capsulatum H88 hypothetical RNA". The record is from RNAcentral. Lineage: Eukaryota; Fungi; Ascomycota; Eurotiomycetes; Onygenales; Ajellomycetaceae.